Molecule: ribosomal RNA, 312 nt
Filed under: uncultured Chloroflexota bacterium
Lineage: Bacteria; Bacillati; Chloroflexota
Description: bacterial SSU rRNA
Rfam family: Bacterial small subunit ribosomal RNA
Source: RNAcentral
GAUAAACGCUGGCGGCGUGCAUGAGACAUGCAAGUCAUACGGGCGAGCUUGCUCGCUAGUGGCGAACGGCUGAGUAACGCGUAGGUGACCUGCCCCGAAGUGGGGGAUAACUGCCCGAAAGGGUGGCUAAUACCGCAUGUGGCGAUGUGUUCAUUCACAUCAUCAAAGCCGCGAGGCGCUUCGGGAGGGGCCUGCGUCCGAUUAGCUCGUUGGUGGGGUAACGGCUCACCAAGGCGACGAUCGGUAGGUGGUCUGAGAGGACGAUCACCCAGACUGGGACUGAGACACGGCCCAGACUCCUACGGGUGGCAG